AAGACUAACUACUGCGAAAGCAUUUGCCAAGGAUGUUCUCAUUAAUCAGUGAACGAAAGUUAGGGGAUCGAAGACGAUCAGAUACCGUCGUAGUCUUAACCAUAAACUAUGCCGACUAGGGAUCGGGCGAUGUUAUCUUUUUGACUCGCUCGGCACCUUACGAGAAAUCAAAGUUUUUGGGUUCUGGGGGGAGUAUGGUCGCAAGGCUGAAACUUAAAGAAAUUGACGGAAGGGCACCACCAGGAGUGGAGCCUGCGGCUUAAUUUGACUCAACACGGGGAAAC
RNAcentral lists this ribosomal RNA (284 nucleotides) under uncultured fungus. Its description in RNAcentral is "partial 18S ribosomal RNA". It matches the Rfam family "Eukaryotic small subunit ribosomal RNA", at positions 932 to 1214 of the family's 1831-position model. Lineage: Eukaryota; Fungi. The record is from RNAcentral.